Molecule: ribosomal RNA, 429 nt
Filed under: bacterium
Lineage: Bacteria
Description: partial 16S ribosomal RNA
Rfam family: Bacterial small subunit ribosomal RNA
Source: RNAcentral
UAGGGAAUCUUCCACAAUGGACGCAAGUCUGAUGGAGCAACGCCGCGUGAGUGAAGAAGGUUUUCGGAUCGUAAAGCUCUGUUGUUGGUGAAGAAGGAUAGAGGCAGUAACUGGUCUUUAUUUGACGGUAAUCAACCAGAAAGUCACGGCUAACUACGUGCCAGCAGCCGCGGUAAUACGUAGGUGGCAAGCGUUGUCCGGAUUUAUUGGGCGUAAAGCGAGCGCAGGCGGAAUGAUAAGUCUGAUGUGAAAGCCCACGGCUCAACCGUGGAACUGCAUCGGAAACUGUCAUUCCUGAGUGCAGAAGAGGAGAGUGGAAUUCCAUGUGUAGCGGUGGAAUGCGUAGAUAUAUGGAAGAACACCAGUGGCGAAGGCGGCUCUCUGGUCUGCAACUGACGCUGAGGCUCGAAAGCAUGGGUAGCGAACAGG